This 253-nucleotide ribosomal RNA is filed under the name uncultured bacterium. RNAcentral's name for it is "partial 16S ribosomal RNA". It matches the Rfam family "Bacterial small subunit ribosomal RNA", at positions 524 to 776 of the family's 1533-position model. The record is from RNAcentral.
UACGAAGGGGGCUAGCGUUGUUCGGAAUUACUGGGCGUAAAGGGCGCGUAGGCGGUCCUGAUCGUCGGAUGUGAAAGGCCUGGGCUCAACCUGGGAACUGCAUCCGAUACGGCGGGACUGGAGUGUGGGAGAGGUUGGUGGAAUUCCCAGUGUAGAGGUGAAAUUCGUAGAUAUUGGGAAGAACACCGGUGGCGAAGGCGGCCAACUGGACCACAACUGACGCGGAGGCGCGAAAGCGUGGGGAGCAAACAGG